UACUGGUUCUGACAUUUAAAGCUCUUCAAGGACAAGCACCAGCCUACAUCAUUGAACUUUUACAGCCCUAUGUCCCUAGUAGGUCCCUGAGGUCUUGUGAUCAGGGACUACUUGUUAUUCAGCAUACUAGGCUGAAAACCAAGGGUGAUAGAGCUUUUGCCACUAUGGCCGCCAGACUGUGGAACUCUCUUCCUCAGAACUUAAGAUCUGCAGACUCAUUGAUUACUUUUAAAAAACAGCUAAAAACACAUCUUUUUAGAAUUGCAUUUUGUUAACUUUGGACUGCUUCUGUUUUAUACCUUGUGAAGCACUUUGUGAUCUUUUAUCUAGAAAUGUGCUAUAUAAAUAAAAUUUUACUUACUUACUUACUUACUUACGUUGCCACACAGACAUCUGGGAAACUAAGCCCAUGGCAACAGAAAUGACACAAAUGUACUCAUGCUUGUCUUCAUUUCACUUCCUUUCUUGUUCUUUGGUCUAAAUAAAACUCAGAAGUAGUUUCAAAGGGCUGUUCAUAUUUAUUUGCGCCGCUUGUGUAAAAGCGUUCAUUGUUGCUGUGGUUUUCCUGUGAAGCUCCUUAAACUGGAACAUCAACCUUUACACAGUCAGACUUUCAGAUGUGUUCUUCACAGUCACAGUAAUCUUCUUCAUCAUGGCUGGACACCUUCUGUUUGUCAUCCUCAUGUCUUUUGUUCAUGAGACUCAAGCGCAAGGUGAGUCAUCGAUGUUCCACUUUUCACAUAGAUUUUCUGUGACUGCAUAUUUGUUUUUUAUUUAAACCAAAAAUUACUUUCAGGUUCAUAAUAAUAGUCAUGAAACUGAGUAUUAAAUAUAACAGAAGUGCUUUUAAUGUCACAUCAGAGUUCACCUGCUGAAGUUAAAGUGAGAUGUUUUUACACUGCAGAACUAAAUUCAACGUCUGCGCACAGUGAACCAUCCUCCAUCACCAUACAAACUAUUCUGGAAAGUGAAUCACCAAAGAUCAACAAACCAUCAUCUAUCAUGACCACAGGAGCAGAAUCAAGUCUCAGCAAUCCCAGUACUUCAACUUCUACCACUUCAGUGAACUCACUAUCAGGAUUGGGUGCUCUUAAUCUCAGCGCUACAACUGGUGUGAACACUCCUGCCAAAACAACUCAGUAUAUAACAUCAGGAGACAGAACUACAGGUGAGACUUCAUUGAGUGCAUCAAUAAUGUGAAGAUAAAUUGUUCCCUUUAAACCAGCGGUCAGCAACCUUUCUGAUGAUGAGUGCCAUCUAAAAUUUCCUCAGAAGUCAAUGUGCCAUAUGAUUGUAUUAGCAAUAAAUUUAAUAACGCUCUAUAUGAACAGUUACACACUAUAUAGAAUAACUUUAUAGAAUUAUAUUUGUUCACAGAUGUUGGCAGCUAUCAGCGAAUAGUUAUCAGCUAAUUUGAAACAAAAAAAAACACUUUUUAUCCAUAACAAGAACUCCAUGACAGCAAAUGAACUGUACAACAGAAAAUGCGAAUGCUAUUUAUGGUCUCCUCACAACAAUGAUAAGAAAAAUAAACUGGGCCAAUAUGGCAUGUUUGUUGAUACAGUGAUACACAUGUUAAUGUCAUCUCUGGUCUCCCACUCAGAGACACAGGUCUCCGAGUGUCCAGCAUUCAUACGGCUACCUGAGGACACUCUUCAUGUGAGAGAAACUCUGCUCACACAGAUAUGUAGAGCCAAAUACUGUCAAUAAGGCCUCUGCAAUGUUCUAAAGACAGUUAACCUUGUGAGGUAGUGAUGUCCAGCAGGUGAAAAUGCAAGCUCCAUGAACACACACAGCUGUGGAUACCAACUGCGUUCGUAGUUAUGCAAACUUUGACCCCCACAGAGUCGAGCUUUUCAGUUCAAUCAGCUGCAUUUCGAUGUCGUCUGUGUCCAGCCAGUUAAUGCGAGACAAAUCCAGCUGCUCAUUAAAGCUUUCUGGUUUGAUCAGAAAAGAAAACAUUGGUCCAUACACCUGAAAGUCCCGAAAACGCAUUGUGAAUUCUGUCUCGAGUCUACAGAUGUAUCCGUGUAUUUCUGUGGUGCUGAUGCUGCGCUGAGCGGGCAGCUCCUUAAGCAUUUGAAGUGUUGGAAUGUGGAAAUUUCAACAUCGCUUGAAAAAACUGCCAGCUAGCAGUUUUUUACCAGUGUAUUAUGAUUAAGUGACCUAUUUUUAGCCAAUUACAAGUUGAAUCUGGUAGUUGGGCUUGUUAGCUAAGAUACCGUCAUUAAGAAGCGGCACAACUAAUGUGUCUAUGCGAGCUAAUUUGUGAUGUGCUGCUGUCAGCUACUUAGAAAAGGAUCCUGGUGUCAUUUGUCUCUCAGAAACAGUUCAUAACUUCCCUUCAAGUCAUUCAUGUCACCUAAAAGGUAAACCUGUUUCUCCAUCACCUGUUCAGCUCUGAUGGUUCAGUAAGGACAUCUCCUGGUUUCACCUUCAUGUUUCCCUCUCACCACAUAUCCCAACCGAUAUCAUGACCAGCAGCUUUACAGCUGUGGCUCCAGCAAACAUCAGCUGAUACUAGAAGUUAAUAUUAAGUAAAUUCUAACAACAGCUGAUC
This is a long non-coding RNA of Oreochromis niloticus (Nile tilapia), 2560 nucleotides long. The record is from Ensembl. Lineage: Eukaryota; Metazoa; Chordata; Actinopteri; Cichliformes; Cichlidae.